GUAACAAGGUCUCCGUUGGUGAACCAGCGGAGGGAUCAUUAUAGAGUUUUCUAAACUCCCAACCCAUGUGAACUUACCUUUUGUUGCCUCGGCAGAAGUUAUAGGUCUUCUUAUAGCUGCUGCCGGUGGACCAUUAAACUCUUGUUAUUUUAUGUAAUCUGAGCGUCUUAUUUUAAUAAGUCAAAACUUUCAACAACGGAUCUCUUGGUUCUGGCAUCGAUGAAGAACGCAGCGAAAUGCGAUAAGUAAUGUGAAUUGCAGAAUUCAGUGAAUCAUCGAAUCUUUGAACGCACAUUGCGCCCAUUAGUAUUCUAGUGGGCAUGCCUGUUCGAGCGUCAUUUCAACCCUUAAGCCUAGCUUAGUGUUGGGAAUCUACUUCUCUUAGGAGUUGUAGUUCCUGAAAUACAACGGCGGAUUUGUAGUAUCCUCUGAGCGUAGUAAUUUUUUUCUCGCUUUUGUUAGGUGCUAUAACUCCCAGCCGCUAAACCCCCAAUUUUUUGUGGUUGACCUCGGAUCAGGUAGGAAUACCCGCUGAACUUAAGCAUAUCAAUAA
RNAcentral lists this unclassified non-coding RNA (553 nucleotides) under Neopestalotiopsis sp. Its description in RNAcentral is "partial contains 18S rRNA, ITS1, 5.8S rRNA, ITS2 and 28S rRNA". The stretch from base 185 to 338 matches the Rfam family "5.8S ribosomal RNA". Lineage: Eukaryota; Fungi; Ascomycota; Sordariomycetes; Amphisphaeriales; Sporocadaceae. The record is from RNAcentral.